GUCUACAGCCAUGCCACCUUGAACGUGCCCAAUCUUGUCUGAUCUCGGAAGCUAAGCAGGAGUGGGCCUGGUUAGUACUUGGAUGGAAGACCACCUAGAAAUGCCAGAUGCUGUAGGCA
Molecule: ribosomal RNA, 119 nt
Filed under: Pteropus alecto (black flying fox)
Lineage: Eukaryota; Metazoa; Chordata; Mammalia; Chiroptera; Pteropodidae
Source: RNAcentral